Molecule: non-coding RNA, 28 nt
Filed under: Rattus norvegicus (Norway rat)
Lineage: Eukaryota; Metazoa; Chordata; Mammalia; Rodentia; Muridae
Source: RNAcentral
UGGAAGAGGCAAAUGUUGUUACGGUUCU